UCGGGAAUUUUGGGCAAUGGGCGAAAGCCUGACCCAGCAACGCCGCGUGAAGGAUGAAGUAUUUCGGUAUGUAAACUUCGAAAGAAUAGGAAGAAUAAAUGACGGUACUAUUUAUAAGGUCCGGCUAACUACGUGCCAGCAGCCGCGGUAAUACGUAGGUGGCAAGCGUUGUCCGGAUUUAUUGGGUUUAAAGGGUGCGUAGGUGGCCCUGUAAGUCAGUGGUGAAAUAUCUCAGCUUAACUGAGAGGGUGCCAUUGAUACUGCAGGGCUUGAGUACAGAUGAGGUAGGCGGAAUUGACGGUGUAGCGGUGAAAUGCAUAGAUAUCGUCAAGAACACCGAUAGCGAAGGCAGCUUACCAAGCUGUAACUGACACUGAGGCACGAAAGUGUGGGGAUCAAACAGGAUUAGAUACCCAUGUAGUCCCUGAGCGGGCUGGCAAGGCGCAU
Molecule: ribosomal RNA, 447 nt
Filed under: uncultured bacterium
Lineage: Bacteria
Description: bacterial SSU rRNA
Rfam family: Bacterial small subunit ribosomal RNA
Source: RNAcentral